AUUGAACGCUGGCGGCAUGCCUUACACAUGCAAGUCGAACGGCAGCACGGGAGCAAUCCUGGUGGCGAGUGGCGAACGGGUGAGUAACAUAUCGGAACGUGCCCAGUAGUGGGGGAUAACCCGGCGAAAGCCGGACUAAUACCGCAUACGACCUACGGGUGAAAGCAGGGGAUCGCAAGACCUUGCGCUAUCGGAGCGGCCGAUAUCAGAUUAGCUUGUUGGUGGGGUAAAAGCCUACCAAGGCGACGAUCUGUAGCUGGUCUGAGAGGACGACCAGCCACACUGGGACUGAGACACGGCCCAGACUCCUACGGGAGGCAGCAGUGGGGAAUUUUGGACAAUGGGCGCAAGCCUGAUCCAGCCAUGCCGCGUGCGGGAAGAAGGCCUUCGGUGUAACGCUUUGUCAGGGAAGAAACGGCUCGGGCUAAUACCUCGGGCGUAAUGACGGUACCUGAGAAUAAGCACCGGCUAACUACGUGCCAGCAGCCGCG
RNAcentral lists this ribosomal RNA (491 nucleotides) under uncultured bacterium. RNAcentral's name for it is "bacterial SSU rRNA". It matches the Rfam family "Bacterial small subunit ribosomal RNA", at positions 29 to 519 of the family's 1533-position model. The record is from RNAcentral.